RNAcentral lists this ribosomal RNA (401 nucleotides) under uncultured bacterium. RNAcentral describes it as "bacterial SSU rRNA". It matches the Rfam family "Bacterial small subunit ribosomal RNA", at positions 355 to 773 of the family's 1533-position model. The record is from RNAcentral.
UGGGGAAUAUUGGACAAUGGGCGAAAGCCUGAUCCAGCAACGCCGCGUGAGUGAUGAAGGCCUUAGGGUUGUAAAGCUCUUUUACCCGGGAUGAUAAUGACAGUACCGGGAGAAUAAGCUCCGGCUAACUCCGUGCCAGCAGCCGCGGUAAUACGGAGGGAGCUAGCGUUGUUCGGAAUUACUGGGCGUAAAGCGCACGUAGGCGGCUACUCAAGUCAGAGGUGAAAGCCCAGGGCUCAACCUUGGAACUGCCUUUGAAACUAGGUAGCUAGAAUUCUGGAGAGGUCAGUGGAAUUCCGAGUGUAGAGGUGAAAUUCGUAGAUAUUCGGAAGAACACCAGUGGCGAAGGCGACUGACUGGACAGAUAUUGACGCUGAGGUGCGAAAGCGUGGGGAGCAAAC